GAAUUUUAGACAAUGGGCGAAAGCCUGAUCCAGCAAUGCCGCGUGCAGGAUGAAGGCCUUCGGGUUGUAAACUGCUUUUGUACGGAACGAAAAGCUUUGGGUUAAUCACCCGGAGUCAUGACGGUACCGUAAGCAUAAGCGCCGGCUAACUACGUGCCGACCGCCGCGGUAAUACGUAGGGUGCAAGCGGUAAUCGGAAUUACUGGGCGGAAAGCGUGCGCAGGCGGUUUUGUAAGACAGAGGUGAACUCCCCGUGCUCAACCUGGGAACUGCCUUUGUGACUGCAAGGCUAGAGUACGGCAGAGGGGGGUGGAAUUCCGCGUGUAGCAGUGAAAUGCGUAGAUAUGCGGAGGAACACCGAUGGCGAAGGCAACCCCCUGGGCCUGUACUGACGCUCAUGCACGAAAGCGUGGGGAGCAAACAG
RNAcentral lists this ribosomal RNA (424 nucleotides) under uncultured bacterium. RNAcentral describes it as "partial 16S ribosomal RNA". It matches the Rfam family "Bacterial small subunit ribosomal RNA", at positions 359 to 775 of the family's 1533-position model. The record is from RNAcentral.